AAGGAUUUCAUUUUUGUUGCGAUCCAAUCAUUAGGAAUGGUGAAGAAAUACUGAAUCCAUCACUACUUCGAUAACACAAGGGCCAUGUGAUUGUUUGGUGCUGCCCACAUCAUGGAAAAAGCAGAUUCCAAAAUGUCUUAAGAGAAUGUGAGAAAUAAUACAAGGUUCAAGUCCCACUCAGAGGCACCCGAGGAAAAAUGUCUGGUGAACUCCGUAUGAGAACGCAGAUCUUACAAACCGUAUGGGGCCCAGUUCUAUUCUUAUGCACGUGGAGUCACCAGGGAUUGGAAUCUACUGAGUAGCAACUGAUGUGUGAUUUUGCUAAGUGUGACUCUGAUGAAGUAUCAAACAAAAGAAGAUAGACCUCACUGGUCAUUAUUGUUACUUAUUUUGUGUUUGUUAUUUAUUGAAGGCCACGUAUUUUUCACACAUUGUCACAUUCAUCCUCAAUAAUAAUACUCCUCAACAAAAAGUAGUUAUCAUUGAGGAUGAAUGAGACAAUGUGUGAAACAUGAAUGACACACAAUGCAAGAAACAGUAAAUACACCUGAGGAUUACUGCUUCGAUUGUACGGAUGAGGGCAAUGGGUUUCAUAUCAGUUUAGAUAAAUUGUUUGAGACUGCACUGCUGAAAGGAAAUAAUUAGAUGGUAAAGAGUUUGAACACCCCUUUCCUGUUCCUUCAAAGCUGGUGUUGUUCCUUGCUGCACUGUGGUGCCUCUACUCCCACAUAAAAGGGAAGAACACAACAAGAGUGCUGUGGAAGCACAUAAAGAAGACUGAGUUGUGUUCUCCUCUGGGAGGCGGGAAGAACAACCAGGGCAAGAGGAAUUGGAGGAAGAGUGGAAACAGCUCCCUUUUCCUCUCGGAAUGUUCUGCAGCUAUGGUCUUGAUGAAAGAGAUAAAGAGACUCUGUGACACAUUAGGUGAUUUUUCAAUGCCCCAAGAGUCCAUUAAUCAACAGUUAUUUGAAAAAAAACCCAAUAGUCGAUUCUUUAAUAAUUUGAUAAAAGCAAUAAAGUGUAAAAAAUAAUGUAUGUGCUUGAAAUGUUAUUAUUUUUAUUUGCUAUGGUUUCUCCACUGAUGAUGUUUCAACACCUUUGCUACAUAUUCUUCUUCUUCUUUUUUUUUUCAUAUUCUUCUUUAAAUAAUGUAUUAGAACUUCCAGUACUCUAAGCUCUCAGUUCUACUGUGAAAUUGUUUAUUAUGAAGACUAUGUUUACUCUGAUUAAAAAAACCCUUUAAUUGUC
Long non-coding RNA from Echinops telfairi (small Madagascar hedgehog), 1248 nucleotides. RefSeq lists it as uncharacterized. The record is from RefSeq and is a predicted model, not a curated record. Lineage: Eukaryota; Metazoa; Chordata; Mammalia; Afrosoricida; Tenrecidae. The transcript is spliced from 3 exons.